AGGUCAGCUAAUAAAGGAGCUAAUAGAUUCGUUCCCAUGGGAAUUCCAACCAACUGUUGGAAGACCUGAUCACCAAAGGCUACGAAGAUAUUGCCGAUGACGUUUUGAUAUCAGCUUCAGAGUACUUGUAUAGUGGUGUUUAACAAAGAAAUAUAAUGUAGGGUCAAAAGAGUAGUCGGGAUUGGUUCAAGUUCACAUGAUUUGGGUGAAACCGAUCAAAUUUUACACUUUCUUUUUACCAUCUACUUGUCACGGUAUCAUCAUUAGCAGUCAAAAAACAUUUUUCAAUUUAUUUAUACAUAAUUAUUUAUAAUAAUUAUACUCACUUAGUCCCACUAAAAAAAUGUUUUCCAUUUUUUUCUUUCCAUUUAUUUUCAGAUUUAAUCUUUUCAUAUUACUUUUUAAUUUUAUGAUAUAUUUUAUUUUCCGUCAUAGUUCAACACUAGUUAUACAGCUUUACACAUCUAGGUACGAAAUACUCAUUAUAAGCCGUCAUUAGAACGAGUUAACAUACCGUUUAAGGAUACUGAUUAGUUAACUCGUUCUUUGUUUUUGACUUGAUCCAGCGUAGGACGAGUCAGUUCAGAUCUGUCUUGACGCUCGAUGGGAACAGACUUUUCUAUUGCCACAUAUUACACUCACAAUUUUAAUAUGUAAACGUGUUGUUUGUUAUCAGCUUUUGUAGUUUAGUUAUAAUUUUAGUUUCCUUUUCUAUGUAAAUAUUCUAUCGUCCUGAGGAAGGGACAGGUCGUCGCUGAAAUUUAACAAUUCACUUCUGUUCGUGUCGUUGGUCAUUUUUAGUGCUUUUUAUAUCCUUUUUUAUUUGACCUCGUAUCUACUAUUAGAUCCGACACUGUGGAUGUUGAGUGUUGUUGAAUUAUAGUGCUUUAUAUAUAUAUAUAUAUAUAUCAGUCUAAAACAACAAAAAUAAGAAGACAACACAAUUUGUUAAAACAAAUGUGAAGUCAAUCCAAGUACACACGGUGAGUUGGUAUCAAAAAACACUUUUAAUUAGAAAAUAAUUUUGUGCAUUCCUGUUUUAGAAGCUCGGUCCGUAUCCUGCUCCAGAAGCUCGGUCCGUAUCCUGUUCCAGGAAGCAUGACCUAUAACGCCAGAGUUGGUGUCCUUUUUUCUGACUUCCGGUUGACUUUCCUGUCUAGUUCAACAUUCCCUUUCAUACAAGAUGCUAACGGUUUAGCACCAAAUUACUUAAAAGACAUCAUCAGUGUACCAACCGAACCGACCUCUGCGUUCUAAUGAUUCUUACAAAUUAAUAAUACCGCAUGGCGAUUUGAAAUUGCUGCAGCCACCCUAUGAAGUGGUUUACCAUCGGAGACAGGGGACUAUAUUGCGACAAAAUAUAUAGCCUUGGAUUAUUUUAUUACCCUUUUUAUUAGGUAUGUAAAGAGGAUUGUUCCUGGAUAAAAUUCAAAGUUAUAUAUAAGAACUGAAGUUAAUAAGCAUAUAACCAUUGUACAUAAUAAUACAUAAAAUGAUAAUAAUAAAAUACCUGAUGCGCACCGUAUUCCUACUGCAGCGUUACAAUUCAAUGAAGGAACCAUGCUUAUUUUACAGUCUGUUACAGAGGUCUCUGUUCCGUCACAAGAAGACUUCUUAAUCUGGUAAUCUGGCAGCUGAGUUUUGGGAAUAUAUUUGGCAAAAUAUCCACUUGGGUGUAUCCUUUAAAUUGAUAUAACUUGAAAUAAGUAUCUUUAAAUCAGAAUGACACAUGCACACCUCACCUACUUCUACAUGUACCUACAUCGUACAUUUACAAACAUUGAAAUGUGUCACUUUAUGUUUUCUGUCCUGUAAAAUUCAGCUUCCUGUAACGUGGCACCGCGUGCGUCUACAUUGUAUGUCACUCAAUGGCUUCUCAGAGUCUACAGAUGACCAGCAAUUUAGUUCCGUUAUUAGCUUACCUGUUUUGUACUCUUACGAGGCAGAAUUCAAUCAAAAGCUUCAACAUGAGGAGAAACAGUAUUUUGCUGUGGCUAGUCGUUUUCUUUCAUGUCAAUUCGAUAUACACUUGUAUCACAGUGACACAACACUUCAAUAUCUGCUUCGUAUUUGGAUAUUUUAUUUCAAACUAACAACUCAAGUUUUCGAUAACUUUAGCUACUACAUCAUCAACUUCCCAUAUUAGCAACAUUUCAUUAUCACUUCUCUAUGGUGUUUAUGUCUGUCAACUGAUUCGAUACGUGAGAGUUUGUUCUCUCUGUGGUCAUUUUUAAAUCGAACCAUGUCACUGAUAAAUAUGUUGCAGUGACAACGUUUUAAGCAGUCUUGUUUAAAAUCAGCAUUUCGCAGAUUACAUGUAUAUGACCGUUAUGAUAAUCAAUUUUGCAAAUACUACCUGUCAUUAGGUCGAAUGCUGCCGGACGUGGAUCUUAUCAAAUGCAAGGCCAUUUUUUACAUACUGACUUUUACUAGUACUCCGUUUACCCUGAUCAAGAUAUAGGGCUCACGGCGGCUGUAACCGGUCAACAGAGGAUAUUUACUCCUCCUAGGCACCUGAUCCCACCUCUGGUGUGUCCAGGGGUCCGUGUUUGCUCAACUAUCUAUUUUGUAUUGCUUAUGGGAUUUAUAAGAUUAAUCACUGUUCGUUAUCUUCACCUAUCAUUGACCACUGUUCAUUAUCCCCACCUUUCAUGUAUCAAAAUCUCAAGUUGAUUUUUGAUUUUCAUCUCUUUAUAAAUCUAUCAAGUUAACAUUGUUAACCCCUCAAAAAAAAAUUCCAUUCUCAAAUACUUUUAUCAUGUCUAGGAUAAUGAUUUUUAAUUUUGUCUACUCUUAGUUACUAUGUUUACUUCAGUUUAGUAUUAUUCCAUGUCCCAAUUAUGAAUUUAGUGUUCUUUGUUUUAGUUAGUUUUACAUGUAAAGCACUUUAGGGUAAUUGUGUUGAUUGUAUAAGGCGCUAUAUAAAUGUACAAUAUUCAAAAUAAUACCAUUAAUAAUGUUUAUAUCUAUUGUUCAGGUACCAGUUAGUUUGUAUGCUUUACACUCCAUUCGAGAAUUUGUCACUCGUACAGAGACGUCACCAGAUUUAGGUGACGUCACCAGAUUUAGAUGAAGUACCACAAAAGUCGGUACCAACAUCUCUAUUGAAAAAUACUAGUACAUGCACUUCUCAAACGAAUACACUGACAUUGAGUCUGUGUGCCCUUCCUCUUGUACCUUGGUUUUCAUUUGAAGGGCCUUGAGUUUUUCAUCUUUUUUUUUUAUCAUUCAUGUAAACAAAGUUUUGGUGUAUCUCUAAUUUGCCCAUUUGAAUUCACGAUUUCAAAAAGUUGUAAAUGUUUCCCCGACCUCUCCUACAUAAAUGAAACAUUUCAAAAAAGACAUUGUGGAGUAAAUCUUGUGAAAAGUUACUUAGUCUAUUAAAACCUUAAAGUCCUGUGUUCCAAUCCAGGCCGGAGCAUUAUUAAACAUUUAAGUAGCGAUAACGUACGGAUUUAGGAGACAAUAUACCAAAAGUAGUAUGGUAUCGUAUACAUAGGGGGAGUCUCCAUCGUAAACUUCAUAUGUUUGUGUGGCGGUGUUCCGUUAUCACCUGCUUAUGGUCUUUGUGUAUCUCGGCUGAUUCGAUGUGUGAGAGCUUUGUUCUACGCGUGGUUGAUUUUUAAGUCGGGGCGAGCUGCUGGCAGAGAGGUUGAUGAUGCAGGGGUUUCGGCAGUCUCGUUUGGGGUAAGCAUUUCGCAAAUUCUAUGGUCGUUAUAACGAUCUUACGAAAGCCCAGAAGGCUCAUUCGAGAUUCGAAAUUCAAAAUACGAGAUUCAAAAUUCAGAAUACGAUUCGAAUUUCGAAAUUCAAAAUCCAAAUUAACCAAUCAAAAUUUAGGUAACAAUAGACUAAAGGGUAGAGAGUAUAUGCACAUAAAUUUAAAAAUAUGACAGAAAGCUUAUUCUUCUAAUAUGUUUACCAAACAACGAAACAUUUCUUUUGAAACUAUAAAUGUUAUGAUGCAUACUUAGCAUGCAGACAGGCCCGUAGAUGUGGGUGUUUGGAUCAAAUACUUAUCUAUUAUAUAUAAACAAUAGAGGAAAUUCGAACCAAAAAUAAAUAUUUCUCUCCAAUCUGUUCUUUUUACAUUUUUUAAGGGUCCAGAAAGCUUAACUACAUGCGUCAUUACGAAAGAAAACUAAUCUAUCCACGUUUUAAAAAUUAUCUUAUCCCACUGAUUCAUAUUAUGGAGAAUAUUUUGACAUUAUAAAUCAAGUCAUUAUAUGCAAACAGACCUGCAGAAAUUCAGGUUCAUAGAAAGCGGGGAGGGGGGGGGGGGGCAAUGGAAUCGAAGGUUAUAUGAAUAAAAUCAACUGAUGACACCCAGUAGCAAUGAAUUCUGAUUUUAGAUUAAACUAUAGGUUUACCUGCAUACCAUAAUUUAUUUUACAUGAAGAUAACUGUACAUGUUUGAGUUAACAAUGACACAGGCGCAUGUGAUUAGAGAUUUGAAUGAGAUGACUUUGGACAGAAAAAAUAUAUUAAAAACAUACAACGGAUAGACAGCUAUUAUUAGAGGAUUUUAAUUAUUAAAGAAGAAUUACUGGGAGUGAAUGGGGCCCUGAAACUAGCUGAUAAGCAGUGUAAAUAACUUUUAAUCGACAAAUAUCUGUCAUGGGGUACGGAAAGGGGUAGAUUGAGGUGCAAGCCUUGUUAUAUAUUAUGAAUCAGUGGGAUAAGACAUUUUUUAAAACGUGGAUAAAUUAGUGUUCUGUGAUAAUGACACGUGUAUUUAAGCUUCCGGGAACAUGAAAAAAUGUAUAAAGAGACACCAUAGAUCAGGGAGAAAUAUUUAUUCGUGGUUCGAAUUUCCUCCAUUGUUUACAUAUAGGUUAUAGAACAAUAUCCUUGACCCAGGCUCCUAUGAAUUCUUUUCAAGUUAUUGUUCGUUAAUUUCCUUAAUUUGCAUUUUGUUUCAUUGUUUAUAGUUUUUACAAAGUUGGCCGUUAUCAUUAUUUUGUUUUUAUUUCUUUUUUAGCAUAUUGUUGAUUUCAGUGUUUCAGUGACUGACAUCCAGACUGCAUUCUUUGUUACCUGUAAGUUUUUAAUUCAUAUUUAGGAAUUUACAUUAGGCAUGGUAUUAUUUUAUUCAACAAUCUACACUCUUCAAUUUUAACUGUUAAACAUUCAGAUUUUAAAACAAUAAUUGACAUAAGAAAAUUGUGCUCAAGAAUAGAAUUUGUUCAUAUUUUUUCUAAUACAAUAAAGGUUAAUGAAGAGACUGGUUUGUCUCCUGGAAACUACACCCAGAAGUAUGCAGACAAACAGUUCAAGCGGCGACUGAAGGUUGAAGAGAGGUCAAAACUUCCCUCAACAAAGAGAAGGCGACUACAGUUAAUUUUUUUAAGGCCAGAUGAUAUUAACAAUUUUUUCUACCUUUAGCACUGAAGAGUUCACAUGGUAAAAAAUAUUUUGGUUGGUUUUGGUUUUCUCAUUUAUAGUUGUUUGGAACUCUUCUUUUUAAGAGCAGGAAAGGGGCUCAGUAAACAAUGUAAACAAUUGUGGUGCCAGAAUCAUUCAAGAGGAGAAAAUCAGGAAAAAUUAUUAGUAAAAAACGUCAUCAAAGGUUACAGAAUGCUAAGAAAGGUUAUGCAUUAUCCCUUGGACGUAAGAUAGUGAAUGUUUAUGCCAAUAACAACGUGAUGAUCGAGGAGAAGUUGGAUGAAUCAAGGAAAAAUUGUUCGUCUGGUGAUAAUUCACAAGAAUGCCUAGGAAAUGAAGACACGUAUCCAUCUGAUGCAUCAGAGAGUGAGGAAUCGGAAGAAGAGCAUGAGGAGAUGAUUUGUUGGAGAAGUGGGAGACGAGUUGUGGAACUUGGAAUUCUAGUGGACAAUUUGGAAAAAGGUUGUGUUGUGUGUGGUAAACCACUAGAUUUAACAACGCAUAAGACUUUGGGAGGACGAAAAACGGUAUGGACUAGGAUCAUUGUUAUAUAUAAGAUGCUAACAGGAAGCAUGCAGUCAUCUUUUUUCUGUUUCUACUGGGAAACAUUAUAAUGCAGAAUCUAACGUAAAAUGGCACAUCAAAGAGAUCCUGUAUUAGACAUUUCUUUAUUUUUUUCCAGAGAUGAAUAGCCAAGGAAAACCAAGAGUGACAAAAAACAAAAAAAAAAAACAAAAAAAAACAAAAACAAAAAAACAAACAAAAAAAAAACAACCCAGUAAAAUCAUAAAUGCCAUUGUAAAUUAUUUUCAGAAGUUGUAAAAUUUUACUCUUAUAUUAUGGGAGAUAACUCUUCUUUGUCGUGAGAAAAUUAGCCAAUGUGAUAUUUACAAUUUUGCUUCUACUCAGAAAAUUCACUCCGUAUGGUAUAUGAUUUUUAAGUUUAUAUUAAACUUUAAACAUUAAGUCAACAUAUUAUGAAGUUUAUUUUAAUUUGUAAACCUUUACUGAGGGUGCAAUGUCCAUAUAUGUAAUUUUAUUGAAGCAGCAAUUGAUCUUUUCCAAGUGUAAAAUUUGUAAUGCAUUAAUAUUUUACAUGUUAUGUUGUAAAUCUAAUAUCAGUACACUCUGUUCUCCCUGACAACCAUUUUUUGAGAUAUAAAGAAAGGUAAACAGAUGAAUAAUAAACUAAUUUACCAUGAUAACUAUUGUUUUGUACUUGUUUUGGAAAUAUGGAAAAUAUUUCACUCUCCAAGUCAAAGGCGAAAAGAAUUCAAGGAAUUAUCCACUUUUAUAAAAGAAUGACAUCAUAUAAAGUCUCUUCGAAAGAAAAAAAUUGUUUCUAUCAUCUGCCCUUAAAACAAGAGAGGAAUGUUACACAAUGUGCAUUACAGGCACUUGAGGGUGACACAUAUCAGUCAGAGAUUGGAUUAGCUGAUGAGAUUGACACAGAACAAAUCCCAGAUCCUGUCCCCCGAGGUGUUUUCAAGCCUGUCACCUUGUCCAGUGGAACUCCUUCUCUUGUAAUGUUUGAUUUAGAAACUACAGAUUUGAGCAAGUUUUAAAAAAAAGGUUGCUUGCAUGUUAAUGGGCAUACAUAGUAGUGCAUUGUAGAACAUUACAUUUCAAAAUAAUGCCCCCCCCCCCCCCCCAAAAAAAAAGUAAGGGGGGGGGGGACUCAGCCAGAGGCAAUAUUGACCAAAAAAAUUAAAUAAAUAAAUAAACAUAAAAAGAGAAAAAAAGGUAAUUAGAAAGGGGUCAAUGUAUGGAUAAGUAAAAUUAAAAUUUGAUAGUGUUUUUGUAUGAUUUAUUCAGAAUAUUUUGACUCUAUUUCAGUUCGAGGAAGACAGAUGCCACAUAUUACACAGCUGGCUGCAGUUGAAAUGGAGACAGGAUCUAUGUAUAAUAAUUAUAUUCUCCCAAAGGUGCCCAUUACAGAAGAAGCACUGAAUACAACUGGCAUAGUGGUCAAUUCAGAUUUACAGAAAAUGACUGUCCAUGAAAAAGAAGUCGAUGCAGUAAAUAUAACAUCUGGACUGACAGAAUUUUCAAACUGGUUAAAGAAUUUUCCCAGAGCUAUAUUAGUGGCGCAUAAUGGAAGGAAAUUUGAUUUUCCUGUUGUUAUGAACACAUUACAUUCUUUGAAUUUGACAAAUGUGCUCCUUUCUGCAGUCUCUGGAUUUACUGACUCGCUUAGUAUUUUCAAGAAGGCAUUUCCUGGCCAGCCAAAUUAUAAACAGGAGACCUUAGUGAAGUCACUACUAGACACCACAUACAGCGCUCAUGAUGCAAUAGAAGAUGUCAAAACAUUAGGAAUGUUGAUGAAACACUCUAAAAUAUCAGGUCCUGAAAUUUUACCAUUCACUUUUCCACCAAUUGCUGUGCACCAUGGCCUUAUUUUCAGCAAGGAGAAAUCAAAAAAACAUAACUUCACUGCAUGUUCUCAUAGCAAAAGGCAUUGUGAAACAUAAUACAACUGAAAACAUUGCAGGUUGUGGAUUGAACUUGUCACACCUUCACAAAAUAUUUCAGAGAGAUGGUGAGGAUGGACUAAGAGCUAUAUUUUCACAAAAAACAUCCGACGGUCAGCCACGAGUUUCGUCUACAAAACGUGUUCUAGAUUCUGUCAUUCCAAAACUUGUGGAUUAUUUUGAGAAACAAUAUGAAACAUGAAUUGUGUCAGAUAUAUUGCAGUAUCAUUGUAUAUUAUGUUGAUGGAAUGAAUAGAAUAUAAAGUAAAAUUACUUUUUACUUUCCCAAUGCUGUAACAUUGUUGCUAUGAGAUAUAUUCCUAAAGUCUUAGAUGUUCUAAUUGAAGAUCAGCUAUUAGGUCAAUAUUUGAGGUCAUUGUCAAGGUCAAUGUAAUAUAUAUUUUAUUUUGACAAGUUUUUAUACGAAGUCUACAUUUAGAUUGUAAAUUUAGUGUUGUUUUGUUAAAAUAUGCAUGUUUGCAGAUUUGUUUUUUAAACAAAAGUGUUCUUAUAAAUUUGGGGGGGGGGGGGGUAGGGUUGUGAAAAUUGUAAAAAAAAAAAAAAAAAAUAAAUAAAUAAUAAAAAAAAAAAAACUAAUUAUCUCUGGUAAAAAAAAAUUUUAAUUUUAUUUUAUUUACUUUAUCAUACAUUGUUGCAAGUAUUUAUAACAAAAUAACCUAAGCCAAUCCAUUUUUCAUUUUUCUAUGAGUUAAUUUAUGAACAUCACAUGAUUUUUAUGAGCCGAAAAAUAAAGCAGACCUGACAGUAAUCUUGAUUUUCUUGACUCAUUUUGCAUUAAAAGCAACAUAAUUUUUUAUCCACUAUUUAUUACAAUACCAAAACUACCAAAACCCAUCCCCCCUUUUUUUGAUUUUUUUUGGUGGCGAUAAUUUCUCUGAAAUAUGUGGAUUCCUUGUCUAUCAUAUCCCAAUUUCGAUUUAUAUAAUCGUUUCACGCUUUUUGUAAGCUGUAGACAUUGGCUUAGCCUUCUAUUGGUAUAACAAAUUGUAUUCUAUUAUAUCGAUAGAAGGCCAAUCUCUAAAGCUUACAAAAAGCGUGAAACGAUUAUAGAAAUCGAAAUAAGGUUGGGGUCGACAAGGAAUCCACACAUUUCGGAGAAUUUAUCGCGGCAGAAAAAAAUAAGAAAGGGGGGGUGGUGGUAAUAGUGUCCAUACUUCAGAUGCCUGUACAAAUAUCUUCCUCACUCGUUCAUCUAUUUUUUUUAUGUGCGCCUGGGUGUAAAUAAUAGAGAAAAUUCGAACCAUGAAUAAUUAUUUCUCUCCCAUCUAUGUUCUCUCUUUUUAUAUAUAUUGUUUUAUGUUUCAGGAAACUUAACUACGUGCGUCAUUAGUCAUUACCACAGAACACUAAUUUAUCAACGUUGUCCCAUUCAUGUAUGUUCUAUGUACAGUACAGUAUUUAUAGUCUCAGGAACCGGUAAUUUUGUCCGUAAUAGUAAUAGUAAGGUUCUAUACUAUAUCACCCCCUAAUAAAUAUUAGGAGAUAAUUCCAAUGUUAUUUAUUACAAUUGUUUUGAUUGGACGAAAAUAAAGCUGAACAAAAGUUUACACAUCAAUAAAUCCGAAAACGCGAUGUAUUCAUACACACCUGAAAACAAAUAACAUAGUCCGGAAAAACUAUUCAAAUUUUUGGAAUUGUUAGUAAAGUGAAUGAAUUGGAAUUAUAAGAAUCAAACGUUCUUUUAUUCAGUUUGUGAGCAAAAUGUCCGGAGUUUACACAUCGAUAAAUUCUUCAAAAAGAACGUUUAAUCCUAUAUUGAUAUAAUAUAGACCCCAACUAUUAUUAUAUUACAGACAAAAUUAUCAGUUCCUGUGGUACGUAGGUUGAUAUAAUAUGAAUCAGUGCAUAAGAUAAUUUUUAAAACGUGGAUAGAUUAGUAUUCUGCCGGUAUCACGCACUUAGUUAAGCUUCCUGGAGCCUAAAAAAUGUAAAUAGAUACAACAUAGAUCCGAGAUAAAUAUAUAUUCAUGAUUCGAAUUUCCUCCAUUGUUUAUAUAUAGAUAACUGGGAAAAAAUCAAUCUAGAAUCAAUUGUUGGAGGUUUAUCAUCGGUUAAUAUACUUCAUAUACGAUUUCACUUUAAGGUAUCAUGUGUAUUCGUCAUUAUUUGACCUGGUUAUCACAUACAGUGCAAAAUUAAUAUGUGGGAGCUGGUACAAGUUUACUGUCCGCCUCCCUUCCCACAGGCACCUGAAGUAUGGAUAUUACUACACCCCCCUCCCUUUUCAUAUUUUUUUUUUGGUGGCAAUAAUUUCUCUGAAAUGUAUGAAUUUCCAGUCUGUUACGGCCAUUUCGUUAAUUAGUGCUCUCUCUGGAGUUGUGAUGUGAUGUCAUCAUUUUUGGGGCACAAUAUUUUUUAUGUGUAGAACCCGUGAUUCUAUUAUGGCAGGACGCGGCAAGUGCCAUACCUGCAUUACCAGUUUUCCAGUCAAAUGUUACUAGUUAACUUACCAGUCAGCUUUGUACUGAUAAUUAUGUUCACUGAAGGAAACUUCUGAAUUGGUGAGUGUAUUAUUGUUUUUAUUUAGGUAUAAACUGUGCAUUUAUGUAUCUCAGUAAAUUUUGCAUUAGUAAUUUCAGUAUAAAGUAAUUGCUUUUAGUAUUUGUGCAAUUAUAUUCAAGUUCAUUAUUUAUAAUGCAAUUAGGAAGUCAGGUAAUAUUAUUGACAUGUAUGUGAUAUUGUUGGAUACGUGCACAUUUAUCAAGUACUGGAGAUAACUCCAUUUUCACCAUGUUUUCCAUUCUUUAUCUGUAAUAAUCUAGAGUUAUGCCACUUUUGUUUACAUUAUGUCGGCAAUUUUUCUUAUCCAUACUGCAGUGUCUGUUAUUUUCUAGUACAUGUAAUACAUUAUAAUUGAUUUGCUAGGAUGUGUUAUCAUGUGUGAUUUAAUCUGAAAUAUCUUGUAUUUAUUGGAUAUUUUCUUUGUAUUUUUUGUAGUAAAUCGUCGUUAAACGCAUUUACAAGUUGUUUCCUACUUCAUUCCCUAUUUGGCCAGUACACAGUCUAUCUCAUCCCUCUUUCGAUUCAUGUAAUCGUUUCACAC
Long non-coding RNA from Ostrea edulis (European flat oyster), 10920 nucleotides. RefSeq lists it as uncharacterized. The record is from RefSeq and is a predicted model, not a curated record. The transcript has 2 exons. Lineage: Eukaryota; Metazoa; Mollusca; Bivalvia; Ostreida; Ostreidae.